This 3765-nucleotide long non-coding RNA is filed under the name Homo sapiens (human). RNAcentral describes it as "HSALNT0296991". Lineage: Eukaryota; Metazoa; Chordata; Mammalia; Primates; Hominidae. The record is from RNAcentral.
UCCCGCCCCGCCUUCCUCCCUGGUCUACUGGGGUUCCUUCCUUCUCGGUGUAACUAGGUCAGCGCAAGGUGAUCCUGAGGAGAUAGGCGGCGCUCGGGGGGCGCCCUCGUUCCUCUUAUCGCGCCUUUGUCCCUCCCUCCGUUCCUUGCCCCGCACCCUCACUUUCGCCGCCCUGUGCGUUGCCUGUCCCGGAACUGGUUCCCUCAAGCCGCCCUCACCUGUUCUGACUUCCCCUCGAGGCACAAUAGCCUGAGAGAUCAGACGUGGGAGAUUAGAUUGCUCGGCGUCAGACCUACUUCUAGGCAACCCCCCCUAGACUGGAGCUGCUCGUCGUGGACAUUAGGAUCUAGUUGGGCAUGAGCCCUUAACUUAAGGGUCGGGGGGGAAGUGGCGGGUGCGGAGAGGAGGCGUGGAGAGUGUGAGGAAGAAGAGAGGCACUCUGAGAAGAAGUCGAACAACUAACCCCUCAUUUGGCCUGGUUUGGGUGAGAAGAUUGAGUCACUUGGGGAAAAAAAUAUUGGAGAAGUCAGAGAAGGUGUAAAUCAGUGGUGCCACAAACACCAGUUUACUUCCACUUUUCACCCCCCGGGUCUGUUUUGUCUGCGUGCAGCUCUCCUCGUGUCGGAGACGCUGAGUCAGUUCUCUACUGGUCUUGCCCUCUUCCGGAAAAAGAAAACACACCUGAGAAGUGGUAGUUCCUAUCCUAACCUACUGGGGCCCUUUAUACCAGGUGCCAAACUUCAUUAUCCACCCCACCACCUUGCCCGGGAGGGAGAUCUGUGAAAGCGAAACGUGAUUUAAGCUGGGAUCUGGCAGCAACUUCGUGGACUCUGAAGGGCACGUGGGAAAGGAGUUUUGAUUGAAGAAACCAAUGGCUGCAUUAAAUGAGUCUAUAGAAGAUUUUUCAUCUCUGGACAUGUCUAAUUGCAGAGCUCUAAUUGGAGGAACGUGUGGCAGUAUCUGAAAGGAGAAAAUAGGGUCUUGUUCUGUCACCUAGGCUGGAGUGGCAUGAUCAUGGCUCACUGCAACUUCUGCCUCCCUGGCUCCCAGCCUCAAGUGAUCCUCCCACUCCAGUCCCCUGAAGCAACUGGGACCACAGAGUAAUUUUAUGCUGAUUGAAGAAAAGAAGUAAACAGAGUUCCAGAAAGCAACUGCAAAUACUCAUUUUGAAAAAGAAAACAAAACAAAAACAAGGGAGACAUUUUAAAAGGUGCUAAAGCAACAGGACCAGUUGCCAGAGAGCUUAUUUUACCUCCCCAAAACAAGAUUGGUGUUUCAUCCUUGAGUUUAGUACACAGGAUUGUUCUUAUUCUUCUGCAGAUAGAGAGGUGCACUGCUUUAUGCUGCAAGUUGUCUAUAAGACAAGUUUUGUGAGUAUCAAAUAUUUGUAAGCAAAUCAAAUUUCUCCCCCAGUUGAAAUGAUUAUUUCAGAAGAAUUUCUUCUUUGUUUUGAAUUGGACUUCUGAGUUGGACUUCUCAGCAUGAUAAAGAAGAAAGAGCAUUAGAAUAAGAAAGAAGAUUAAGCUUCUUGUUUUGAUUAUGCCCAUAAUCAGCUGUGGGACCCCGGGCUAAUGCACUCCAAAAUCCCACUGUUCUGUGACCUUGCUAUGUGGGGCAUCAGCCUCCUCAUCUCUAAUAUUUUGGAUUUAAGUUAGUUGAUUUUUAUGGUCCCGCAAUGGAAUUCUUUAAACAACUCCACUAAUCCAUGAUACUGUUGCUUUAAAAAUCUUGGUUUUAGCUUUCCUCUAAGGAAUUUAUAGUGACAAUUAUCUACUUUUUUUUUCUUAAAUAAAAAUAGAGGUGGGGUUUUGCCAUGUUGCCCAGGCUGGUCUCAAACUCUUGGGCUCAAGUGAUCUGCCCACCUUGGCCUCCUAAAGUGCUGGGAUGACAGGUGUGAGCCACUGUACCCGGCCAGACCAUAUGUCUCUAGCAUUUUGAUAACAUUCUCUACAAUCUGGGCCCUGUAUAACUCCCCAGUCUUCAGACUACUACUCUCUAUGCUCACAUCUUUGGCGAUUUUAUACUCUUUGCCAAUUUAGAUGCCAUUUGUUUUUUCGUUUCCAGUAGAUUAGUAUGUCCAACCCAGAUUUUGGUAAACCCUAGACUCAUUCUACAGUCUGUGACAUCUCCAUUUGGAUUUCUUAUUGGCAUCUCAGACUCCAUAUGUCUAACCUGGAAUGCCUGAUCUCCAUUGCCUCCUAAACCGGCUUCUCUCACGGCUCUCCCAUCUCGGGGCCCAGCAUCUCAGACCUUUGCCUUGCUUACACCAGACAUUUUGUUGUUAUCUGUACCACCUCCUUCUCGUGCAGUCUACUUGAUGCCACCUAAUUGGUAUCCCUGGCUUCUGCCCUUGUUCUCUUAACGAAUCAUUUUCCAAACAGCAGCCAGAGUGAUCCUUUCAAAAAUGGAUUCAGAAAUCAUGUCACUGCUCUGCCCAAAGUUCCCAAAUGACUUCCCAGUCACUCAGAGCACAAGCUGACGCUCGACACAUCUGGGCCCCGUAAGAUUUUCAUUUCUGCUCCUCCUCCUUUUGCUCACUCUGCCCCUGCCACAUUGGUCUCCUGCUUUCCCGGAACUUGCCCAACAUGUUCCUCCCUCAGGGCCUUCACAUUUGUCAUUUCCUGUCCUAUGAUGCUCUUCCUGCAGAUAUCUACAGCAGCUCCCCGCUGCUCCUUUUGCAGGUUUUUGUUCAGAUGUCAUCUUCCUGGUGAGCUCUUCCCUGAACAACUCCUCACCCCCUCCACCUUGCCCCUGGGACUCCCUUUGACCUUUCUCGGAUUGUUUUCCCUGUAACUCUUGCCACCACCUCAUACAGGGCUUCUCAAGCUUGGCAUGAUUGGCAUUUUGGGACAGUUCUUUGUUGCGGGCUAUUAUCCUGUGCCUUGCAGGAUGUUUAGCAGCAUCACCACCCUCGACCCACUCAAUACCUGCAACUUUCCUCCCUAGGUUGUGACAGCCAGAAAUGUCUCCAGACACUGCCAAAUGUCUCCUGGGGGACAAAACCACCCCUGGUUGAGAAUCUUUGAUAUAAUGUAAAUAUGCAUUUUACCUAUGUAUUUGUUUAUUGUUCCUCCCUUCCCCACCAAUAAAAUAUAAUCUCCAUGAGAACAGGAAUUUUUGUGUCUAUUUUCCACUGAUGUAAUGCAGGCACUCUGAAUAGGGUAUGAUGCAUAGUAGGUGCUCAAACAGAUAUUUCACUGGUGAAUAAAUGAAAUGUGCUCUGACCUUGUUCCUCUGUGCUCAUUAAGCUCUAGCCACACUGACCUUUCUUCCACCUCUCAGACAUCUGAAGCUCCUUCUCACCUUUCAGUCUUUUUCUUUCAGAUCUCACUCCUGGAAAGCUCUAUUCGCAGGUCUCUGUUUACUUGUUACUCAGGUCCAAUAACACCUGCUUAGAGAGGCUUCCCUGAUCACCGUAUCCUACAUGACCCUCCCUGCCAGCCAGAGUCACUGUCUAUAUUGUUACUGUGUUUUAGUUUCUGCAUUACAUUUGUCUUGGAAAUUAUCUUGUUUACGUGGCAGGUGUACAUCUUGCUCCCUUAAAUGAAUGCUCCUUGACCACUCCACAUUAUCUGCUUUGUUUAUUAACGGCAGUAAUCUAAAACAGUAGUCUAAAACAGUGCAAGGCCCAUCGUUGAUGGGCUGAUUAAAUAAGUAUGCCUGUCUUUUAAUCAAUUCAGGGUGGAAGAGAGUCUCUAUAGAAAGGGUUUAAGGGCUGUGUCUGUCAAGGUCCAGUAGCAAAAAAAAAGAAAAAAGAAAAAAAAA